This 253-nucleotide ribosomal RNA is filed under the name uncultured bacterium. RNAcentral's name for it is "partial 16S ribosomal RNA". It matches the Rfam family "Bacterial small subunit ribosomal RNA", at positions 524 to 776 of the family's 1533-position model. The record is from RNAcentral.
UACGGAGGGUGCAAGCGUUGUUCGGAAUUACUGGGCGUAAAGAGCGUGUAGGCGGUCGAUUAAGUCAGGUGUGAAAGCCCUUGGCUCAACCAAGGAAGUGCAUCUGAAACUGAUCGACUUGAGUACGGGAGAGGAGAGUGGAAUUCCUGGUGUAGAGGUGAAAUUCGUAGAUAUCAGGAGGAACACCGGUGGCGAAGGCGACUCUCUGGACCGAUACUGACGCUGAGACGCGAAAGCGUGGGGAGCAAACAGG